UACGAAGGGGGCUAGCGUUGCUCGGAAUUACUGGGCGUAAAGGGAGCGUAGGCGGACGACUAAGUCAGAGGUGAAAGCCCAGGGCUCAACCCUGGAAUUGCCUUUGAUACUGGUCAUCUUGAGUAUGGGAGAGGUGUGCGGAACUCCGAGUGUAGAGGUGAAAUUCGUAGAUAUUCGGAAGAACACCAGUGGCGAAGGCGGCACACUGGCCCAUUACUGACGCUGAGGCUCGAAAGCGUGGGGAGCAAACAGG
Molecule: ribosomal RNA, 253 nt
Filed under: uncultured bacterium
Lineage: Bacteria
Description: partial 16S ribosomal RNA
Rfam family: Bacterial small subunit ribosomal RNA
Source: RNAcentral